This is a long non-coding RNA of Anopheles bellator, 831 nucleotides long. RefSeq lists it as uncharacterized. Lineage: Eukaryota; Metazoa; Arthropoda; Insecta; Diptera; Culicidae. The transcript is spliced from 3 exons. The record is from RefSeq and is a predicted model, not a curated record.
CUAUGGCGGGAACAUUUCACGGCGUUAUUUUUGAAUUCAUUAAAUUUUUUAAAAUCAGUUACAGAUUCGAUUGUAUUGGUUGGUUGCAAAAUGUACUAAGGACAUUGCUGAUUCUAAAACAUUUACCACGGAAUCUCGCCAUCACAACACAGCUUUCGGUGCUCCAGCUUGGGCUCGGUCAGCAGCAAAUCAAUGGAUGGAUGCCCAUUCCGUAGGUCGUUGUCAAAUGUCCUAUUGGUUUGGAAUACCUGAAUGCGCAUGAACAGCUGCUGGUGAAGGUGGCCAGAAGGUGGAGCUGCUGGACAUAAAUGGUCAUGCUCGGUCAUGAUUAGAUCGGCCCGUCCAUUCGAUCUCAAGAUCCUGGCUAACUUCCAGAACGAGGUGCUGCACUUUAACGAGGUACUGUGUUUGGAACGGUGGCACAGCAGCAGAUACUUUUGUGUCAGGAAUCCAACAUCAAGAAUCGGGACGGCUCUCGCGAUCAAGGGCCGCUUCUGUCAGUGCUCUUUGUGUGGUGUACAUUUUUUGGUGUUGACCACGGAUGGCCCGAGGGCGGACAAAGUGAUUAAGCAGUGAAGAGGCCUGGCAAAGGAUGUGUUAACCGAUGCGAACACUUUUGGUAUGAGUUCCCCGACGGAUUUGGUCGUCAGGUCUCUGUGGUUGACUGCUCGUAUCGCACAGAGUUGUGGUUUCAUUUCAAUUUCAAUAAGGGAAAAAGCGGUCAUAAGCCAACAUAAAAAAGUGAGGAUUUUAGUUCUAUUUUCGUAAGUUGUGAAUGCGAAUUUUUAACUGUCCAUGUCAUGAAUGCAAACCCACGCGUGCUGCGUGACA